UCCUCUAUGUCUUUCAUUUUCCCUUCAAUAGUAUCACUUACAAACUGCUUAAUACGAACAUUUGCUUUUGACAUGUCAAAUGUAGCCAUUAAUGGAGAAUUCUGGUUAUCGAGUAAACGAACCUCUACAUCACUUUCAGUUUCUAAUGUGGUCACUGAGGUCAACCAAAACACUGCGUAUCCAUAAAUCAACAUUUGAAACAUUAUGAAGUUGUUCUUGCUUCUAUUAUUUGUUGUUUAUUGACUGAAUC
RNAcentral lists this long non-coding RNA (250 nucleotides) under Mytilus galloprovincialis (Mediterranean mussel). Lineage: Eukaryota; Metazoa; Mollusca; Bivalvia; Mytilida; Mytilidae. The record is from RNAcentral.